GACGAACGCUGGCGGCGUGCCUAAUACAUGCAAGUAGAACGCUGAAGCGAGGAGCUUGCUCUUCUUGGAUGAGUUGCGAACGGGUGAGUAACGCGUAGGUAACCUGCCUGGUAGCGGGGGAUAACUAUUGGAAACGAUAGCUAAUACCGCAUAAAAUGGAUUAUCGCAUGAUAAUCCAUUGAAAGGUGCAAAUGCAUCACUACCAGAUGGACCUGCGUUGUAUUAGCUAGUUGGUGGGGUAACGGCUCACCAAGGCGACGAUACAUAGCCGACCUGAGAGGGUGAUCGGCCACACUGGGACUGAGACACGGCCCAGACUCCUACGGGAGGCAGCAGUAGGGAAUCUUCGGCAAUGGACGGAAGUCUGACCGAGCAACGCCGCGUGAGUGAAGAAGGGUUUCGGAUCGUAAAGCUCUGUUGUAAGAGAAGAACGAGUGUGAGAGUGGAAAGUUCACACUGUGACGGUAUCUUACUAGAAAGGGACGGCUAACUACGUG
Molecule: ribosomal RNA, 497 nt
Filed under: uncultured bacterium
Lineage: Bacteria
Description: partial 16S ribosomal RNA
Rfam family: Bacterial small subunit ribosomal RNA
Source: RNAcentral